UACGGGAGGCAGCAGUGGGGAAUAUUGCACAAUGGGCGCAAGCCUGAUGCAGCCAUGCCGCGUGUAUGAAAAAGGCCUUCGGGUUGUAAAGUACUUUCAGUCGUGAGGAAGGUGUUAAGGUUAAUAACCUUAGCAAUUGACGUUAGCGACAGAAGAAGCACCGGCUAACUCCGUGCCAGCAGCCGCGGUAAUACGGAGGGUGCGAGCGUUAAUCGGAAUUACUGGGCGUAAAGGGCACGCAGGCGGUUAAUUAAGUUGGAUGUGAAAUCCCCGGGCUUAACCUGGGAAUGGCAUUCAAGCUGGUUAGCUAGAGUCUUGUAGAGGGGGUAGAAUUCCAUGUGUAGCGGUGAAAUGCGUAGAGAUGUGGAGGAAUACCGGUGGCGAAGGCGGCCCCUGGACAAAGACUGACGCUCAUGUGCGAAAGCGUGGGGAGCAAACAGGGAUUAGAUA
RNAcentral lists this ribosomal RNA (450 nucleotides) under uncultured bacterium. RNAcentral's name for it is "bacterial SSU rRNA". It matches the Rfam family "Bacterial small subunit ribosomal RNA", at positions 340 to 784 of the family's 1533-position model. The record is from RNAcentral.